Molecule: long non-coding RNA, 450 nt
Filed under: Salvia miltiorrhiza (redroot sage)
Lineage: Eukaryota; Viridiplantae; Streptophyta; Magnoliopsida; Lamiales; Lamiaceae
Description: long non-coding RNA (SMIL_LNC013684)
Source: RNAcentral
CUUGAUUUUUUCGUCCAUUUUCUUUCCUUUUUUUUCCGGCUAAUUUGUUUCCAAUUUUCACAAAAUCUUCCGUUUUGUUUCCUUAUUUUUCGAAGACUUUGUUUCCUUAUUUUUAUGUUUUUAUUUCAAAAAAAUUUAUAAAUUAUAUAAUUCGAAUAUAUUUUUUUUCGGUUUUGUUUUUGAUUUAUUUGUUUUUAAAUUUUAUUAUUGAUUUGUUACCAAUAAUUUAGUGUUUCUUGUUAUAAUAAUUCUAGAUUUGUUUCCAGCUAUUUUUUUUCUAAAUUAAUAUUAUUUAUUUUUUUCCCGAAAAUUAUUACUCCUAAAUUUUGUGUUUAUUUGUUUUUUAUUAAUUUGUUUCAACUAAUUUUGUGUUUCUCCUUAAAAUAAUACUAGAUUUGUUUUCGGAUAUUAUUUUUAAAUUUUUUCAAAAAUUAGAUUUUUUUAUAAGAU